AAGGUUGUUUUUCUGGCUUCUAAGUGUCUGGAGGAAAGAAAAAAGAAGUAAGCAUACUAGCCUUACAGGAAAAAUCAAAUGUUUUCUUCUUCUAAAUUUCCAACUAUAUGUAAAAAUUAAUGGAGAGAUGAUAUUUAGGAAAAAUAAACACAAUAGAGGAGCCUGAGAACAUGGAUGAAGUACUUAGGCUAUGGAGGACCGAAGACACUAGUUCAGAGUUCUCAUUGUAUGAUUUCUCUCAGAUUGCUGAUGCUACAGACAACUUCUCACCCAAAAGUAAACUAGGAGAGGGUGGAUUUGGCCCAGUUUACAAGGUAUUUCCUUGCAAUUACUACGGUCAGGCACCAAUAUCAUGAAAUUUAGAUGGCUACAUAUAAACAUGGAGCGAUGAACUUUGCAGGGAGUAUUUCCUGAUGGACAAGAGCUAGCAAUAAAAAGACUGUCUGCUCGGUCACAGCAAGGUCUAAUAGAGUUCAAGAAUGAGAUCCAGGUUAUAACAAAACUUCAACACAGAAACCUUGUUAGGCUGCUUGGCUGUUGCAUCCAUGGAGAAGAGAAGAUGCUGGUCUACGAAUACCUGACCAACAAAAGCUUGGACCACUUCAUUUUUGGCAUGAGCUUACUCUAAAAUGCUUAUUCCAUAAUUGCAUUUGUUCUGGUAUGCAGAACUAACACUUGGUCUUCUGUCACAUUGCUUGUAGAUCCAAUCAGACGAGCAUCACUUAAAUGGAAGAUGCGAAUUAAAAUAGUUGAAGGUAUAUCCCAAGGGCUUCUGUACCUUCACAAUCACUCACGACUACGCAUAAUCCAUAGGGACUUGAAAGCAAGCAAUAUUCUGUUAGAUUCUGAACUAAACCCUAAGAUUUCUGAUUUUGGAAUGGCAAGGAUAUUUCCGUCAGAUGCCACUCAAGCAACAGCAAGCAGACUUGUGGGCACAUUGUAAGGGCAUUAAAGUAGUUUUGUUACUAAUGUUUCUAUGCGUUUGCUUUCUGACUUCUCACAUGCCACCUUGUUCUAGUGGAUACAUGGCCCCUGAAUAUGCAUCUGAUGGCCUUCUCUCAAUCAAAUCAGAUGUUUUCAGUUUUGGGGUCCUGCUUCUUGAGAUUAUAAGUGGAAAGAGGAGUUCGGGUUUUCAGUACAAUGGAGAAUUCUACAACCUCCUUGAGUAUGUAAGCAGCUAAGAACUAACAAUCUGCAAAAUCAGUGGAACAUUUAUUGUUUUCCCUUAUAAUAAGAUUGUAUACAUAUAAACAUAUCAGUUACCAUUAAUACUGUGGUUAUAUUGCAUCCUACAUUCUUUCUUUCCAUAAAGUAUAGGGCAUCAAGUAUAGUGCAGUUUCCUCUAUCUCCCUGUUGUAUUCCCUUACAUUUGUAGCUAGAUCUAACAGCAUAAAGAUAUACCAUAAUACGCUGCUAUGCAUGUAAAAAUCUUUUUUUUCUAUUCAGGCCUGGCAACUGUGGAAAGGUAGGAGAUGGAGUGAGUUCAUUGAUAAAUCAUUUGGUGAUGAAUAUGAAAUGGAAGAGCUGGUGAAAUAUCUUGCUGUGGCAUUGAUGUGUGUUCAAGAAAAAGCAAUGGAUCGUCCCACAAUGCGUGAUGUUGUUGCACUUCUUAGCAGCGAUGGCAUCACAAUGCCAGAACCAAAGCAACCAGCUUACUCCUAUGCUAAAUUAGAUGAGUCGGUAAAUGUCACUGUAUUGAGUAGCAGAAACGAUGUAACCAUCACUACUAUAAAUGGCAGAUAGUAGAAUGUGGGUACUGUUCAUGAAGUGUGAACUACAGGUCUUGGCCAUCCUCCUUGUGUUAAUUAACUGUAAAGGCAUUGUGUUCCGCAGUUUCUCACCAGUUAACCUGUUAGGCUGAUUUGACUAGUGGUUUUAUGUGUCUAACAAGAUUUUUCUUAUUAUACCGUACAAACAGCGUGAGACUGAAUUAAUUUAUAUUUCAGUUCCAAACUGCCUACCGCUAGCACAUAAGCCACGUUCUGUUGUUACAAUGAAUCACAAUUCCACACAAUAGAUAGCAUUUGUUAGGAUAUAUCAUAAAUCUGUGCAUGGUCUUUUUCAGUCUUUCUUUCUUUCUUUCUUUUUUUCAGUGUCAGACAUAUUUUAAGCAUGAGCAAUUUUAGAAGGCGUAAUCAAGAAGUAUGAAAGCACCUGGAAUGUAGUCAAGUCCAAGUUUUCAAAAAAAAAUGUAGUCAAGUCCAAUGCUCACGAUGAAAUGGAGUCUGCUGUUCACUAGGGAAUGUAGACAGGUCCACUAGUCUACCUCUGGCUUCCAACGCACGAGACAGCUCUCUGGACCAGUCUUCUGUGGAAAAUAUGGGCAUGUCACCAUCUAUCAAUAUAUAUAGCAAAGAAUGAGUCUUAGCAAUCAUUUUCCACUAACAGAUUCAAUGGAACCUACGCUUGACUUUUGAAUUCCUUUACCUCUUGGUAGAUGAAGCCAAAAUGAUGCUUGGCACUCAUGUGUGACUUCUUGACGAGCAAUCCUGCAAUAUGGAUAAGACCAAAGGCCAUGGUACUUCAGUUUCACUUACCAAUCAAUAUGCUACCGUUAUCUCUCCUAUUCCUCUUCCUCUCCUGCCCAGCACCAUUGGCUGGCCAAACCUUCUGCAGUAAUCAUAAUGGUGCCAGGUACAUACCAUACAACACCUACAAUAUCCAAACUGAUCUCCCAUGCUGAAACACUGAUUGCCCGCACUGUAGAGAUGCACUUUUAGUUGUCUUCUCAAACUACAACUCAUUGGACUUAUGCAUUGAUGUACAGACAACACAGCUAAUAUCUUGGUUGGAGUUGGAGUGUUCCUAAUGGUAAUAUUUAUUUCUUGCUUGGUUUUUCAUCUAUGGAUCAAAACACAGCAACAGAGAGGUAUGAAUUAACAUAACAGCAGAUCAACAGCAUAAACCGUUAUUGUUCUCUUACAUGUAUCGACAGCAUAAAGUUUCAAUAUUGUUUUUCAGAACAAGCAAUAUUAAAAUUACGACAACUGUCUUUGGCAAUACAAAGUGUGACAAAUUUAUGGAGGAUGGAAGGCAGCAACAACUUGGAAUUUUCAAAGUAUGAUUACUCUUACAUAAAAGAAGCUACAAAUAACUUUUCGAUUGAUAACAAAUUGGGGCAAGGUGGCUUUGGCCCUGUGUACAAGGUAUUAUGUCCUUAUAUUGCAAAUGGACCCCUAAAAUGAAUUAACAUUACAUUGUUGAUACAAAUAUAAUGCCUUUUCUAUAUUGUUGUAGAGAUAUCUUCUGCGAUGGUGCAUAAGUUAUUUUUUGUGACUAAACAAAAUGAAUAUCAAUUUCCAGUAGAAUAAGUUAUGAAGUUAUGAAAAAUAACUUGUUUUCCUUUCAAUCAAUCCCAGGGCCGAUUGAGCAGUGGAAUUAAAAUAGCAGUCAAGAGGCUAGAAACAUGUUCUUUACAAGGUUUACUGGAAUUCCAAAAUGAAAUUCAGCUUAUAUCAAAGCUUCAACACAAAAAUCUCGUUAAGCUGCUGGGUUACUGCACUAAAGGAGAUCAAGAAAAGAUGCUUGUAUAUGAAUACAUGGAAAAUAAAAGUCUAGACUGCUUCAUAUUUGGCAAGACUCAUCGCUUCUACAUGUGUAAUGUUGUUUAUAGUAUGUCAACAGCUUUGAUGAAUUAUACAUAUUUUGCAGAAAAUGUGAAGGGAGCACAACUAAACUGGUCAAAACGUCUGCACAUAAUUGAUGGGAUAGCUCAUGGGCUUCUUUACCUUCACAACUAUUCACGAAUAUGUGUUGUUCAUAGGGAUUUGAAAGCAAGUAAUAUUCUCUUGGACAGUGAAAUGAAUCCAAGAAUAUCUGAUUUUGGGAUGGCUAGAAUAUUCUGCUCAAAUGUGAAAGAAUCAAAUACAACCAGAAUAGUGGGCACACGGUAAGAACAUAUGGAUCUAUGCAUUUUAAGUACACGAAAUAUUCAUAGAGGCACUUCUUUUGGAAAAAAUGGACAUUGUAUGAUAGCAUAUCAUCAACUUAAUUUAUAAAUUCCUCCCUUUUUGCAUUACUGACACAAAUUUAAAUUCUGACACUCAGUGGCUACAUACCUCCUGAGUACGCUUUUCAUGGGAUUUGCUCUAUCAAAUCGGAUGUUUUUAGCUUUGGCGUAUUGACGUUGGAAAUAAUAAGUUCAAAGAGGACAGCGCAAUUCUAUGAAUACAAUGGAAAGCUAUAUAAUCUCAUCUCAUAUGUGAGUGUAAUUGAUCUCAACACCAUCCAGAACUUUUACCUAUGCAGACCCAUUUGCCUCAUUUUACUUGUUUCACAAAACACGCUACUUUGGCAGGCUUGGCAACUUUGGAGUGAUGAAAAAUUGGGUGAGUUGAUUUAUUCUCCUUCAGGCAAUGGACACCAUGAGAUAGAAAGAUGCAUUCAUGUGGCACUUUUAUGCGUCCAAGAAAGUGCAGAGCAUCGACCUGAUAUGGAGCGAGUUAUCACAAUGCUAAACACUAAGGAUGUGAACUUACCCAAUCCUGCGCAACCAGCUUACUUCCA
This 4506-nucleotide long non-coding RNA is filed under the name Setaria italica (foxtail millet). RNAcentral's name for it is "long non-coding RNA (SITA_LNC001577)". Lineage: Eukaryota; Viridiplantae; Streptophyta; Magnoliopsida; Poales; Poaceae. The record is from RNAcentral.